AACCUGGCGGCGUGCUUACCAUGCAAGUCGUACGAGAACCGGAACUUCGGUUCCGGGAGUAAAGUGGCGCACGGGUGAGUAACGCGUAGGUAAUCUACCCUUGGGUUUGGAAUAACCCGCCGAAAGGCGGACUAAUACCGGAUAAAAUCUUUCGGAGGGAUCUGAAAGAUCAAAGGUGGCCUCUCCAUGGAUGCUACUGCCUGAGGAUGAGCCUGCGUCCCAUUAGUUUGUUGGUAGGGUAAUGGCCUACCAAGGCUACNAUGGGUAGCUGGUCUGAGAGGAUGACCAGUCACACUGGAACUGGAACACGGUCCAGACUCCUACGGGAGGCAGCAGUGAGGAAUAUUGCGCAAUGGGGGAAACCCUGACGCAGCGACNCCGCGUGGGUGAAGAAGGCCUUCGGGUCGUAAAGCCCUGUCUAGAGGGAAGAAAUUCUCAAUGGAAUAAUACCCAUUGAGAUUGACGGUACCUCUGGAGGAAGCACCGGCUAACUCCGUGCCAGCAGCCGCGGUAAUACGGAGGGUGCGAGCGUUGUUCGGAAUUACUGGGCGUAAAGCGGGUGUAGGCGGUUUGUUAAGUCAGAUGUGAAAGCCCACGGCUCAACCGUGGAAGUGCAUCUGAAACUGGCAGACUUGAGUACCGGAGAGGGAAGUGGAAUUCCUGGUGUAGGGGUGAAAUCCGUAGAUAUCAGGAGGAACACCGGUGGCNAANGCGACUUCCUGGACGGAUACUGAC
RNAcentral lists this ribosomal RNA (735 nucleotides) under uncultured delta proteobacterium. Its description in RNAcentral is "bacterial SSU rRNA". It matches the Rfam family "Bacterial small subunit ribosomal RNA", at positions 32 to 744 of the family's 1533-position model. The record is from RNAcentral. Lineage: Bacteria; Deltaproteobacteria.